CCUCCUUUUUCCCUCUUUCCUCGGAAUUACUGGGCGUAAAGCGUGCGUAGGUGGUUCGUUAAGUCUGAUGUGAAAGCCCUGGGCUCAACCUGGGAAUGGCAUUGGAAACUGGCGACCUAGAGUGCGGUAGAGGGCAGUGGAAUUCCCGGUGUAGCAGUGAAAUGCGUAGAGAUCGGGAGGAACAUCUGUGGCGAAGGCGACUGCCUGGACCAGCACUGACACUGAGGCACGAAAGCGUGGGGAGCAAACAGGA
This 253-nucleotide ribosomal RNA is filed under the name uncultured prokaryote. RNAcentral's name for it is "partial 16S ribosomal RNA". It matches the Rfam family "Bacterial small subunit ribosomal RNA", at positions 547 to 777 of the family's 1533-position model. The record is from RNAcentral.